Molecule: long non-coding RNA, 925 nt
Organism: Phymastichus coffea
Lineage: Eukaryota; Metazoa; Arthropoda; Insecta; Hymenoptera; Eulophidae
Exons: 5
Source: RefSeq, a predicted model, not a curated record
AAUCCAAGUGAUAUUUAAAAUUAAAAAAAAAACUAGGAAAGGAAGGAACAAGAAAAAUUUUUCAAAUGAAUAUUUAGAGCCAGCCAAACGCUUAAAUAUUGAAAAAGUUCAGUAUAACGAUAACACAGAUUAUUCUGACGAUCAUGAAUCCCAGGUGCUAGAAGAUCCUCUAUUUAUAUCUGAUUUAUCAAACUUACAAGGAAAAUCAGCGUAACUCAACGUUUGUUCAUCAUCGAACCAUUCGUCAACAGCUCACGGACCCAGCAAGUAAAUAACUGGCACUGAUAGUGACGACGCAGAUACUAUGGAAGAUAGUGAAAAUACAGUAUCCUUAAAAAAAAUAUAUUCAAAAACUUAUCCUUAGGAAAGGAAUUUAUAUAGCAAAGAAGCAAGAAUAUAGUGAUAAAUAUUUAAGAAGACAAAAGAGACAGAUAUCUUCAAAACCUGAUUUUAUUUCACAAGAUAAAUUGAAAUUAUUAAAUGAGUAUUUGCCAAUAGAUACUAAUGAAAACAAUGAAAAAAGAAAGUAGAUAUUGUAGAAUCAGAAUUACUAAAUCAGAAAUUUGCAAAGAUUGUGCACAUGUCACAGGAGUUUUGGAAUAAAAUGCUGCAUAUUGAGGAAAGAAUGUUGUGUAACAUAUGGCAUCUUCAAGGAGCUGGUGGCAAUAAUGUUCAUGAUUUAAUAUAUAACAUGGUACCAAAGAUAAUAACAGAUGAGGUCUUACAAAGUUAUAGUUUCUUUGGGAGAAAAUCGAAGGGACAAGAUAAAAAUAAAUGUUUUUCUGAACUCACUAUCUGCAAGUGCAUUUACAUGGCUUCCAAAUUGUCAUUCCCUAAGGCUACAGAUAAUGAAAUAAAAAAAUUGCUAUGCAAUUUUUUUAUUUUUAUUUUUAUUUUUUUGGAUCAAGCCAGCACUAGGUUUAAA